AGUGAACGCUGGCGGUAGGCCUAACACAUGCAAGUCGAACGGCAGCACAGUAAGAGCUUGCUCUUACGGGUGGCGAGUGGCGGACGGGUGAGGAAUACAUCGGAAUCUACUUUUUCGUGGGGGUUAACGUAGGGAAACUUACGCUAAUACCGCAUACGAUCUACGGGUGAAAGCAGGGGAUCUUCGGACCUUGCGCGAUUGAAUGAGCCGAUGUCGGAUUAGCUAGUUGGCGGGGUAAAGGCCCACCAAGGCGACGAUCCGUAGCUGGUCUGAGAGGAUGAUCAGCGACACUGGAACUGAGACACGGUCCAGACUCCUACGGGAGGCAGCAGUGGGGAAUAUUGGACAAUGGGCGCAAGCCUGAUCCAGCCAUACCACGUGGGUGAAGAAGGCGUUCGGGUUGUAAAGCCCUUUUGUUGGGAAAGAAAAGCAGCAGGUUAAUACCCCGCUGUUCUGACGGUACCCAAAGAAUAAGCACCGGCUAACUUCGUG
RNAcentral lists this ribosomal RNA (492 nucleotides) under uncultured bacterium. RNAcentral's name for it is "partial 16S ribosomal RNA". It matches the Rfam family "Bacterial small subunit ribosomal RNA", at positions 29 to 507 of the family's 1533-position model. The record is from RNAcentral.